This 77-nucleotide transfer RNA is filed under the name Nocardia transvalensis. RNAcentral describes it as "tRNA-Leu". It matches the Rfam family "tRNA". From Rfam's summary of the family: Transfer RNA (tRNA) molecules are approximately 80 nucleotides in length. Their secondary structure includes four short double-helical elements and three loops (D, anti-codon, and T loops). Further hydrogen bonds mediate the characteristic L-shaped molecular structure. tRNAs have two regions of fundamental functional importance: the anti-codon, which is responsible for specific mRNA codon recognition, and the 3' end, to which the tRNAs corresponding amino acid is attached (by aminoacyl-tRNA synthetases). tRNAs cope with the degeneracy of the genetic code in two manners: having more than one tRNA (with a specific anti-codon) for a particular amino acid; and 'wobble' base-pairing, i.e. permitting non-standard base-pairing at the 3rd anti-codon position. The record is from RNAcentral. Lineage: Bacteria; Bacillati; Actinomycetota; Actinomycetes; Mycobacteriales; Nocardiaceae.
UCCCUCGUAGCCCAACAGGAAGAGGCACCGGUGUUAGGUACCGGGCAGUGCGAGUUCGAAUCUCGCCGAGGGAACCA